GCUGGGCGUGGUGGCUCACGCCUGUAAUCCCGGCACUUUGGGAGGCUGAGGCGGGUGGAUCACCUGAGGUCAGGAGUUCAAGACCAGCCUGACCAACAUGGUGAAACCCCGUCUCUA
Molecule: signal recognition particle RNA, 117 nt
Filed under: Homo sapiens (human)
Lineage: Eukaryota; Metazoa; Chordata; Mammalia; Primates; Hominidae
Description: Metazoan signal recognition particle RNA
Rfam family: Metazoan signal recognition particle RNA
About the family: The signal recognition particle (SRP) is a universally conserved ribonucleoprotein. It is involved in the co-translational targeting of proteins to membranes. The eukaryotic SRP consists of a 300-nucleotide 7S RNA and six proteins: SRPs 72, 68, 54, 19, 14, and 9.
Source: Rfam by way of RNAcentral